CUUCCCUUUCCCAAAUUCCUUUGCUCCACUCCGAUUUUCACUAGAAAUCAAACACCGAAAGCCCUUCAAACCUUGAUUUCCUCCUCUAUUUAAAGUGAUCUAGGAUUUCUUCAUCUCCACUGUUGAUCUUUGGUCUUCAAAGUCGAUCAAAUCCUGUCCUUUUUCUUCUUCCGAAAAACCAUGGUUUCUGUUUAUUGUGUUGUCAGAAAUCGGGGGCAUGACAAUUAAUAUGGUAUCAGAGCAUAAGUGGAUAUAUUAUGACAUAUAGAAUUAGACAUGAGUGUAGGUGGGUAGACAUUAGGAACAUUGGGAUGAUGACUUAUAUUGAUUAUAACAUAAUCUAAAAACUUAGAUUUGACACAAGUAUAUUGAUAGAUUUGAAUCCCAGUGCAUAGUGAAAUCAUAGUGGUCUGAAUUAUUUUCAAGCUGAUCAGAGCGGUAAUUUGAUUUGAAAGAUGAAUGAUUCGAUUUUGAAAAUUUGAGGAUGAUUAUAUUUUGAGGUAAAGGUAAUCCUGAAUUUUUUAGGACUUAGCAAGAAAAAUUUCAAAGACGAAAUUUCUUUUUAUGAGGGGAGAAUAUAAUACCCCAAGUCCAAUCCAAGUCCCAAACCAAAAGAGUGGCACGGAUCCUAAAGCAAACAAAAAAAUUAUUAAGGCCAGCAUGUGCAAGGACUCCUUCCCUUUCCCAAAUUCCUUUGCUCCACUCCGAUUUUCACUAGAAAUCAAACACCGAAAGCCCUUCAAACCUUAAUUUCCUCCUCUAUUUAAAGUGAUCUGGGAUUUCUUCAUCUCCACUGCUGAUCUUUGGUCUUCAAAGUCGGUUAAAUCCCAUCAUUUUUCUUCUUCCGGAAAACCAUGGUUUCUAUUCAUUGUGUUGCCAGAAAUCAGGGCGUGACAAUCUUAGAAUGAAAUUAUUGGCAAAAAAAGCAUCCAAGCAUGUGAUAUUAGUAUCAAAAGCAUCAUUCACCGAACCAUCCCAAACCAGACGGUCCAGGCCAUGCUGAACCGUAUCGAUGGAAAACCGAUCCAGUUUCAACGUACAAAAUGGUACAGCAGCUGUCUUGGAGGAAGAGAGAAGAAAAAAAGGAAGAG
RNAcentral lists this long non-coding RNA (1091 nucleotides) under Elaeis guineensis (African oil palm). Its description in RNAcentral is "long non-coding RNA (EGUI_LNC009533)". Lineage: Eukaryota; Viridiplantae; Streptophyta; Magnoliopsida; Arecales; Arecaceae. The record is from RNAcentral.